UCCCCGUUACCGGGGCAGUCUAGCCAGAAAAAUUCAACUGACCAUAAGGGUUGCGCUCGUUAAUGGACUUAACCAUACAUCUCACGACACGAGCUGACGACGGCCAUGCAUCACCUGUCUCUGCGGUCCCACUCUGGCUACAACAACUUGUUAUAGACAAAGUGGGACACAUUUUCUUUCGAAAACUUAGCAGGAUGUCAAACCUUGGUAAGGUUCUACGCUUAUCAUCGAAUUAAACAACACGCUCCACCGCUUGUGCGGGUCCCCGUCAAUUCCUUUAUGUUUUAAGCUUGCGCUCGUACUCCACAGGCGGGAUGCUUAACGCGUUAGCUUCGCUACUACCGGGAUCGAUACCGAUAACAGCUAGCAUCCAUCGUUUACGGCGUGGACUAC
Molecule: unclassified non-coding RNA, 393 nt
Filed under: uncultured bacterium
Lineage: Bacteria
Description: contains 16S-23S intergenic spacer region
Source: RNAcentral